Molecule: ribosomal RNA, 497 nt
Filed under: uncultured bacterium
Lineage: Bacteria
Description: partial 16S ribosomal RNA
Rfam family: Bacterial small subunit ribosomal RNA
Source: RNAcentral
GAUGAACGCUGGCGGCGUGCCUAAUACAUGCAAGUCGAGCGAACAGACGAGGAGCUUGCUCCUCUGACGUUAGCGGCGGACGGGUGAGUAACACGUGGAUAACCUACCUAUAAGACUGGGAUAACUUCGGGAAACCGGAGCUAAUACCGGAUAAUAUAUUGAACCGCAUGGUUCAAUAGUGAAAGACGGUUUUGCUGUCACUUAUAGAUGGAUCCGCGCCGCAUUAGCUAGUUGGUAAGGUAACGGCUUACCAAGGCAACGAUGCGUAGCCGACCUGAGAGGGUGCUCGGCCACACUGGAACUGAGCCACGGUCCAGACUCCUACGGGAGGCAGCAGUAGGGAAUCUUCCGCAAUGGGCGAAAGCCUGACGGAGCAACGCCGCGUGAGUGAUGAAGGUCUUCGGAUCGUAAAACUCUGUUAUUAGGGAAGACCAAAUGUGUAAGUAACUAUGCACGUCUUGACGGUACCUAAUCAGAAAGCCACGGCUAACUACGUG